RNAcentral lists this ribosomal RNA (277 nucleotides) under uncultured Bacteroides sp. RNAcentral's name for it is "partial 16S ribosomal RNA". It matches the Rfam family "Bacterial small subunit ribosomal RNA", at positions 69 to 339 of the family's 1533-position model. Lineage: Bacteria; Pseudomonadati; Bacteroidota; Bacteroidia; Bacteroidales; Bacteroidaceae. The record is from RNAcentral.
CAGCAUGAAGGAUGCUUGCAUUCUUUGAUGGCGACCGGCGCACGGGUGAGUAACACGUAUCCAACCUGCCGAUGACUCGGGGAUAGCCUUUCGAAAGAAAGAUUAAUACCCGAUGGCAUAGUUCUUCCGCAUGGUGGAACUAUUAAAGAAUUUCGGUCAUCGAUGGGGAUGCGUUCCAUUAGGUAGUAGGCGGGGUAACGGCCCACCUAGCCUGCGAUGGAUAGGGGUUCUGAGAGGAAGGUCCCCCACAUUGGAACUGAGACACGGUCCAAACUCC